CCCUUGGAUGUUCUGGGCCGCACGCGUGCUACACUGAGUGGAUCAGCGGGUCAGGUUGCGCGAAAGCGUUUCCUAAUCUUUAAAUCCGCUCGUGAUGGGGAUUGACGGUUGCAAUUUUCUGUCAUGAACGAGGAAUACCUUGUAAGCGCGGGUCAUCAUCCCGCGCUGAAUACGUCCCUGCCCUUUGUACACACCGCCCGUCGCUCCUACCGAUUGAAUGCUCAGGUGAGCCAUUCGGACUUUCAUCAUGCUGGUUUCCAGUUUUGAUGAAGGAAAGUCUUGCGAACCUUAUCAUUUAGAGGAAGGAGAAGUCGUAACA
Molecule: ribosomal RNA, 319 nt
Filed under: uncultured eukaryote
Lineage: Eukaryota
Description: partial 18S ribosomal RNA
Rfam family: Eukaryotic small subunit ribosomal RNA
Source: RNAcentral